This 459-nucleotide ribosomal RNA is filed under the name uncultured bacterium. RNAcentral's name for it is "partial 16S ribosomal RNA". It matches the Rfam family "Bacterial small subunit ribosomal RNA", at positions 338 to 795 of the family's 1533-position model. The record is from RNAcentral.
CCUACGGGGGGCAGCAGUGAGGAAUAUUGGUCAAUGGGCGAGAUCCUGAACCAGCCAAGCCGCGUGAGGGAAGAAGGUCCUAUGGGUUGUAAACCUCUUUUGUCGGAGAACAAAACCCGGGACGUGUCCCGGGCUGAGUGUAUCCGAAGAAAAAGCAUCGGCUAACUCCGUGCCAGCAGCCGCGGUAAUACGGAGGAUGCGAGCGUUAUCCGGAUUUAUUGGGUUUAAAGGGUGCGUAGGCGGUCCGUUAAGUCAGCGGUAAAAUGGCGGGGCCCAACCCCGCCCAGCCGUUGAAACUGGCAGUCUGGAGGUGGCGAGAAGUAUGCGGAAUGCGCGGUGUAGCGGUGAAAUGCAUAGAUACCGCGCAGAACUCCGAUUGCGAAGGCAGCAUGCCGGCCCCACACUGACGCUGAGGCACGAAGGCGGGGGUAUCGAACAGGAUUAGAUACCCUGGUAGUC